This 467-nucleotide ribosomal RNA is filed under the name uncultured bacterium. Its description in RNAcentral is "partial 16S ribosomal RNA". It matches the Rfam family "Bacterial small subunit ribosomal RNA", at positions 28 to 506 of the family's 1533-position model. The record is from RNAcentral.
GACGAACGCUGGCGGCGUGCUUAACACAUGCAAGUCGAACGGAAAGGCCCUGCUUUUGUGGGGUGCUCGAGUGGCGAACGGGUGAGUAACACGUGAGUAACCUGCCCUUGACUUUGGGAUAACUUCAGGAAACUGGGGCUAAUACCGGAUAGGAGCUCCUGCUGCAUGGUGGGGGUUGGAAAGUUUCGGCGGUUGGGGAUGGACUCGCGGCUUAUCAGCUUGUUGGUGGGGUAGUGGCUUACCAAGGCUUUGACGGGUAGCCGGCCUGAGAGGGUGACCGGCCCAUUGGGGACUGGGAUACGGCCCAGACUCCUCGGGGGGGCAGCGGGGGGGAAUUUGGCAAAAGGGGGGGAAGCCUGAUGCAGCAACCCCGGGGGGGGGAGGACGGCCUUCGGGUGGAAAACCGCUUUCCCCUGGGACGAAGGGUGGGGGAGGGGAAGGGGAAAAGAAGCACCGGCUAACUCCGG